Aethalodelphis obliquidens (Pacific white-sided dolphin) is the source of this 3596-nucleotide long non-coding RNA. RefSeq lists it as uncharacterized. NCBI's taxonomy places the organism in Eukaryota, Metazoa, Chordata, Mammalia, Artiodactyla, Delphinidae. The transcript is spliced from 2 exons. The record is from RefSeq and is a predicted model, not a curated record.
CAGUAUUAUUAGCUAAUCACCAUGCUGUACAUUACAGCCUCAUGACUUAUUUAUUUUAUAACUGAAAGUUUGUACCUUUUGACUCUAUACACCCCUUUUGCCCACCUCCCACGCCCUAGCCUCUGGCAACCACCAAUCUGUUCUCUGUGUCUAUGAACUUGGUUUUUUUUGGGGGGGGGCGUCCUAGAUUCCACAUAUAAAUUAGGUCAUACAGUAUUUGUCUUUCUCUGUCUCGCUUACUUCACUUAGCCAAUGUUCCCUGUUUUUAACCUCUAAGUUUCCAGCAAAAUUAUCCUCCAAGAAAUUCAGGACAUCGGAUGGGAGAACGUGAAGUAAACCACUGAGUUGGAGAUUUCAGAAGCAGCCAUGUUCAGGGGGUAACUGCAGCUAUUUGCAUACAUGAGCCAACAGAGGAAGACAAGCAAAUGACCCAGGACCGUCCUGUAGCAGCUUCUGCCUUGGUCUCUUAAAUCACUUGCUCUGGGGAAGCAAACUGCCUGGCCACGGGGACACUCAAGAGGCCGUAUAGACAGGUCCACAUGGAGAAGAACAAACUUUCCAGCCACGUGAACCAGCCCUCUUGGAAGCAGAUCCUCCCGUCUCUGUCAGCUUUCAGUUGACUGCAGUCUCAGCCAACAUCUGAUUGCAACUUUAUGAGAGACCCUGAACCAGAACCAAUGAGCCAAGUCAUUUCCAGAUUCUGGCCCCAAAGAAACUGUGAGAUAUAAUAAAUGAUUAUUGUUGCUUUAAGCCAGUACGUUUUGGGAUUUGUUAUGCAGUGUUAGACAAGUGUAAUACAAGGAUAUUAUUUAUCUAAUGUUACAUAACCGUAUUCCAAAACCGUAUUCAUGUGGCUUGAAAAUCACAAAAAUCAUGUAUUACUUAUUGUAAUUUCCGUGGGUCAAAAAUUUAAACAAGGCAGCAGGAACGCUUAUCUCUGUUCUGUGAUGUCUGGGGUAUCAGCUGAGGUAGCUUGAAGGCUGGAGGGUGGAAUCGCCUUAGGGCUCAUUCACUCACAUAUCUGACAAUUGCUACUGGUUGUCAGCUGCAGGCCUACCUGGGGCCGUUGCCUGGUACACCCAUUGUUAUGGAAUGAAUUGUGUCCCCCCAAAAAUUCAUAUGUUGUACUCCUAACUAACCUCCAGUACCUCAGAAUGUGACUGUAUUUAGAGAUAGGGACUUUAAGAGGUAAUUAAGCUCAAACGAGGCCAUUUAGAAUGGGCCCUAAUCCAAUCUGAUGGACUUGUGUCCUAACAAGAGAGGAAGAGACACCAAGGACGCUUGUGCACAGAGUAAAGGCCAUGGGGUAACACACAGAGAGGGUGGCCGUCGGCAAGCCAAGGAGAGAGGCCUCAGGAGAGAAACCAAACCUGCCACCACCUUGGUGUCGGACUUCGAUCCUCCAGGAAUGUGAGAAAAUAAAUUUCUUUUGUUUAAGCCACCCAGUCUGUGGCAGCCCUAGCAAACGAAUGUGCCCAUGCAUGUCCUUUCCAUGUGGCCUGAACUUCCUCAUGACAUGGCAGCUAUGUUCCAAAGGCUACCAGAGAGACAGAGACAGAGGUGUAGAUGCUGUCUUUUUUAAGACCUAGUUUCAGAAAUCACAUUGUAUUGCUUCUGACAUAUUUUAUUCAUUAGCAGUGAGUCAUUAUAUUAUGCCACUAAGUGAAUCACUAAGUUAUUCAAGGAAAAAAUAAUUCAACUUCAUCUUUUGAAAGAAGGAGAGUAAAAUAAUUUGCAGAUCUAUUUAAAAUCAUUACCAUCAUCGUCAUGUUCAUCACAUAGACUUUAAGAUGCUGUCAGGUAAGCCGGGUAGAAAUAGGCCCCAAGCAACUUGAUCGGAAGUGUGGAUCUGGAACUCAGCACUAGAGAUGUGGAUUUGGGAGUCAUCCACAUAUAGAAAUAGAAAGGGAAUGUGACCCCAGAGGAAGGGAGAGGACUCAGUCAUGAGGAAUGCCAAACCCAGCUUGGUGCUGCAUAAAUACUUGAUUUAUUGAAAGUAUUGGUUAAGGCUUCAAAAAGACAGCUACUCAGCCCACCUUGGGUAUUUACUACAAAGGAAAGUACUUGUUUUCUCCCAGUCUGUCAAAGCUUCCUAUCAGCAACUAAAGCACUGCCUAAUGCUCCACAACCAGAAUAGUUUUUAAAACAUGAUUGGCUCAUAAAAUGAAACAUCAUCCUUGUCUGCAAACUGGGUCCUAGGGGACCCACAGGCUACGUCCUUUGGGAUCUUAACCAGAAGACUGCUUUGUCCAGAACUCAAUCCCUUCCCACCUUUAGUAAUGGGCUGCUUUCUUGGGCUGCUCGGUACCUCCUUCCAUCGGCUGACCACUGCUGGCUUUCUUGUAGAGCAGGGUUCCCCAAGCCCUGGGCCUCGGACCAGGACGGGUCCGCGGCCUGUCAAGACCCGGGCCGCACAGCAGGAGGUGACCGGCGGGCAAGGGAGCAAAGCAUCACUCGCUGUACCGUGUGAACCUAUCCCCACCUCCGCCCCCCCGCCCCCCGCCCCAGGCCCCGUCCGUGGAAAAAGUGUCUUCUGCGAAACCGGUCCCUGGUGCCAAAAAGGUUGGGGACCGCUGUUGUAGAGAACCGUGAACUCAACCUAGGAGCUUUUUUUAAAACUAAAUACGACUUAAAUUUAAACCCUAAAUUUAAAAUACAUGUUCAUUGCGGGGGUGGGGGAGAAAUAUAUAUAUAUAUAGGUAAUUAACAAGAUGAAAAUAAAAAUCACCUAUAAUCUCACUACACAGGGCAUGUGCUGACAUCCUUCUGGACUCUUUUGCACAAAUAUACUCUUUUUAAAAAGGGGUCACUUUGAAUGUUUUGGUACUUUUUAAAAAUUAAAUAUGAUAUAAUAUGAAAUAUCUUCCAAGUGUUAAGUGAAUAUUAUUUUGCAACAUUCUUUUAAUAAUUUCCCAGAUGGUCCAUGAUGUUAUUUAAUCAAUCCUGUAUGGCUAAGGACCUAAGUAAUGUCCAUGGUUUGUUUUUUUAUUUGUUUGUUUGUUUCUUUUUAAAAACUUUUAAUUUUGAAAUAAUUAUAGAUUCAUAAGAAGUUGCAAAGAUAGUAGAGAGAGUUUCCUUGGAACCUUUCAUCCAGUUUCCCCCAAUGGUUACAUUUUACAUAAUUAUAGUACAGUAUCCAAACCAGGUGUUUGACAUUGGUAUAAAGUUGUGUAUGGUUCUGUGUCAUUUUAUCACAUGUGUAGAUUUGUGUAACCACCACCACAAUCAAGUACCUGAAAGAUCUCCCUCCUGCUACUCUUAUAUAGUCACACUCACCACUUCCCCCUCUACCCCAUCCCUAACUCCUGACAGCCACUAAUCUGUUCUCCAUCUCUACAGUUUUAUCAUUUCAAGAAUGUCAUAUAAAUGGAAUUAUAUAUAUGUAACCUUUUGCGAUUGACAUCUUUUCACUCAACAUAAUGCCUUUCAUAUCCAUCCAAGUUGUUGCCUGUAUCAAUUGUCCAUUCCUUUGUAGUACUGAAUAGUAUUCUAUGGUAUGGAUCCACUACGGUUUGUUUAACCAUUCAUCUGUUGAGGGACAUUUUGUUUGUUUCCAGUUUUGGGGUAUUACAAAUAAAGCAGCUGUGAACAACUGG